GCAUUGGUGGUUCAGUGGUAGAAUUCUUGCCUUCCACGCUGGAGACACAGGUUUGAUUCCCAGCCAGUUCA
This 71-nucleotide transfer RNA is filed under the name Loxodonta africana (African savanna elephant). It matches the Rfam family "tRNA". From Rfam's summary of the family: Transfer RNA (tRNA) molecules are approximately 80 nucleotides in length. Their secondary structure includes four short double-helical elements and three loops (D, anti-codon, and T loops). Further hydrogen bonds mediate the characteristic L-shaped molecular structure. tRNAs have two regions of fundamental functional importance: the anti-codon, which is responsible for specific mRNA codon recognition, and the 3' end, to which the tRNAs corresponding amino acid is attached (by aminoacyl-tRNA synthetases). tRNAs cope with the degeneracy of the genetic code in two manners: having more than one tRNA (with a specific anti-codon) for a particular amino acid; and 'wobble' base-pairing, i.e. permitting non-standard base-pairing at the 3rd anti-codon position. Lineage: Eukaryota; Metazoa; Chordata; Mammalia; Proboscidea; Elephantidae. The record is from Rfam by way of RNAcentral.